GAUGAACGCUGGCGGCGUGCCUAAUACAUGCAAGUCGAGCGAACGGACGAGAAGCUUGCUUCUCUGAUGUUAGCGGCGGACGGGUGAGUAACACGUGGAUAACCUACCUAUAAGACUGGGAUAACUUCGGGAAACCGUAGCUAAUACCGGAUAAUAUUUUGAACCGCAUGGUUCAAAAGUGAAAGACGGUCUUGCUGUCACUUAUAGAUGGAUCCGCGCUGCAUUAGCUAGUUGGUAAGGUAACGGCUUACCAAGGCAACGAUGCAUAGCCGACCUGAGAGGGUGAUCGGCCACACUGGAACUGAGACACGGUCCAGACUCCUACGGGAGGCAGCAGUAGGGAAUCUUCCGCAAUGGCGAAAGCCUGACGGAGCAACGCCGCGUGAGUGGUGAAGGUCUUCGGAUCGUAAAACUCUGUUAUUAGGGAAGAACAUAUGUGUAAGUAACUGUGCACAUCUUGACGGUACCUAAUCAGAAAGCCACGGCUAACUACGUG
RNAcentral lists this ribosomal RNA (496 nucleotides) under uncultured bacterium. Its description in RNAcentral is "partial 16S ribosomal RNA". It matches the Rfam family "Bacterial small subunit ribosomal RNA", at positions 28 to 507 of the family's 1533-position model. The record is from RNAcentral.